UACGUAGGGGGCAAGCGUUGUCCGGAAUUAUUGGGCGUAAAGAGCGCGUAGGCGGUCCGAUAAGUCGGCUGUGAAAGUCCAGGGCUCAACCCUGGAAAGCCGGCCGAUACUGUCGGACUAGAGUCCGGAAGAGGCAAGUGGAAUUCCCGGUGUAGCGGUGAAAUGCGUAGAUAUCGAGAGGAACACCAGAGGCGAAGGCGAAUCACUGGACAGAAUCUGACGCUGAGGCACGAAAGCUAGGGGAGCAAACGGG
RNAcentral lists this ribosomal RNA (253 nucleotides) under uncultured bacterium. RNAcentral describes it as "partial 16S ribosomal RNA". It matches the Rfam family "Bacterial small subunit ribosomal RNA", at positions 524 to 776 of the family's 1533-position model. The record is from RNAcentral.